Caenorhabditis elegans is the source of this 94-nucleotide non-coding RNA. Lineage: Eukaryota; Metazoa; Nematoda; Chromadorea; Rhabditida; Rhabditidae. The record is from Ensembl.
GCAAAAAAUAGGAAAAGCUCCAUUCGCGCAAGACCUUCUCCCAAACAUUGUCGUUUUCCAAUUGAGAACGGGAUCACUUCGUCGACUUUUUUCA